This 433-nucleotide ribosomal RNA is filed under the name uncultured bacterium. Its description in RNAcentral is "partial 16S ribosomal RNA". It matches the Rfam family "Bacterial small subunit ribosomal RNA", at positions 29 to 507 of the family's 1533-position model. The record is from RNAcentral.
AACGAACGCUGGCGGCAUGCCUAACACAUGCAAGUCGAACGAGACCUUCGGGUCUAGUGGCGCACGGGUGCGUAACGCGUGGGAACCUGCCUUUAGGUUCGGAAUAACUCAGAGAAAUUUGAGCUAAUACCGGAUGAUGUCUUCGGACCAAAGAUUUAUCGCCUUUAGAUGGGCCCGCGUUGGAUUAGCUAGUUGGUGGGGUAAAGGCCUACCAAGGCGACGAUCCAUAGCUGGUCUGAGAGGAUGAUCAGCCACACUGGGACUGAGACACGGCCCAGACUCCUACGGGAGGCAGCAGUGGGGAAUAUUGGACAAUGGGCGAAAGCCUGAUCCAGCAAUGCCGCGUGAGUGAUGAAGGCCUUAGGGUUGUAAAGCUCUUUUACCCGAGAUGAAAAUGACAGUAGCGGGAGAAUAAGCGCCGGCUAACUCCGUG